This 328-nucleotide ribosomal RNA is filed under the name uncultured Bacteroidota bacterium. RNAcentral describes it as "bacterial SSU rRNA". It matches the Rfam family "Bacterial small subunit ribosomal RNA", at positions 28 to 351 of the family's 1533-position model. Lineage: Bacteria; Pseudomonadati; Bacteroidota. The record is from RNAcentral.
GAUGAACGCUAGCGGGAGGCUUAACACAUGCAAGUCGAGGGGCAGCAUAGAGUAGCAAUACUUUGAUGGCGACCGGCGCACGGGUGAGUAACGCGUAUGUAACCUACCCUGUACAGGGGGAUAGCCCGGAGAAAUUCGGAUUAAUACCCCAUAAUGAUAUUUUAAGGCAUCUUAGAAUAUUUAAAGCUUCGGCGGUACGGGAUGGGCAUGCGUGACAUUAGCUAGUUGGUAAGGUAACGGCUUACCAAGGCUACGAUGUCUAGGGGUCCUGAGAGGGUGAUCCCCCACACUGGUACUGAGACACGGACCAGACUCCUACGGGUGGCUG